RNAcentral lists this long non-coding RNA (276 nucleotides) under Elaeis guineensis (African oil palm). Its description in RNAcentral is "long non-coding RNA (EGUI_LNC048686)". Lineage: Eukaryota; Viridiplantae; Streptophyta; Magnoliopsida; Arecales; Arecaceae. The record is from RNAcentral.
AUGACUGAUGAUAAUGUUUGAUAAUUUAUCCAUGACCUGCCAUUUAGUCGGGACUCAUGAUAGAGGGACUGAAUCACACAUUAACAUACCUAGUGGUUCAUUUUAGUUCUACUGGAUUGCCACUACAUACUGCUUGAUGUCACUGAUAAAUUGUGAGAGCUCACUAGGAUUGUUCUAGAUCGACAAUUCUUGCUGAGUUAGAGUGAAAUUAUUCUGAUCUAUUAAAAAAGAUUUCAAUGAUAUAAUGAUAGAGAUCAUUGUAUGUCUCACUACCAA